AAGAAAAAGUAUAAUAGAUAUUGAAAAGAUAAAUACAAGUUGAAUAGUUGAAUGUCUUGUCUUCGUUUUAAAGUUUGAAUGGUGGCUCUAUGUCAAUGUAUGUGGAAGUAGAUACAGUUUAAAGAGGAGGAAGUUGAAUGAGAAUUUGAAGGGUCUCCCCAUUGAAAUACAUGGGAAAUUUUUGUUGAAAAAAGUUGAAUAAAAUUAAAAAUAUAAAUGUUAAAAAUGAGAAAAAUAGAAGCAGUCAUGUCCAAAAGAAUAGGAAUCUAAUGGUGUUUGAAUGGUUUUUUCUAAGUUGAACGGUUUUGAAGGAGAUAGAUUACAAAAAACGUACGGAAUCCAUAAUAAUAAAAUAUAAUAAAAUAGAAUAAAGAUUAGAAGAACAAUACUGUGAAUGCUUUUCAAGCAUUCACACUAAUAACUAGAAAAAGAACAAUACUGUGAAUGCUUUUCAAGCAUUCACACUAAUAAAGAUUAGAAGAACAAUACUGUGAAUGCUUUUCAAGCAUUCACACUAACUAGAAAAAUAAAGAUUAGAAGAACAAUACUGUGAAUGCUUUUCAAGCAUUCACACUAAUAAUAAUAAAGAUUAGAAUAACAAUACUGUGAAUGCUUUUCAAGCAUUCACACU
Molecule: long non-coding RNA, 631 nt
Organism: Astatotilapia calliptera (eastern happy)
Lineage: Eukaryota; Metazoa; Chordata; Actinopteri; Cichliformes; Cichlidae
Source: Ensembl